This 357-nucleotide unclassified non-coding RNA is filed under the name Hevea brasiliensis (rubber tree). The record is from RNAcentral. Lineage: Eukaryota; Viridiplantae; Streptophyta; Magnoliopsida; Malpighiales; Euphorbiaceae.
GCGAAGCGAAUACCCAGCGGUUUUACAAGUGUAACCAUAUACUCAUUCAAAUUCAUGUUGAAAGGUGAAUCAGAAGAUGAAGACAUAGCAGAAAUCGGCCGAUAUUGUCGUCGUUUAACUGCCGAGCUAGCUGUAAGCCGUGCAUCACUGAAGCACAACUCUACUCCCCAAAAUGAGGAGAAAACCACACAUUUCUGCAACUUAUCUGAAGAAGAAGAGAAGUUAGCAUCGUUGAAAACCCUGCAAUUCGGAAGUUGUAGUGAACACAUUUUCAAAGAACAAUGUGAUUGAUUGUAGAAAGAAGUAGUAUAAUUUGUGUGCAUAAAGAUGUGAGUAAGUUCUAGAGACAUGGAAGAA